GUGGGGAAUCUUGCGCAAUGGGCGAAAGCCUGACGCAGCCAUGCCGCGUGAAUGAUGAAGGUCUUAGGAUUGUAAAAUUCUUUCACCGGGGACGAUAAUGACGGUACCCGGAGAAGAAGCCCCGGCUAACUUCGUGCCAGCAGCCGCGGUAAUACGAAGGGGGCUAGCGUUGCUCGAAAUUACUGGGCGUAAAGGGCGCGUAGGCGGACAGUUUAGUCAGAGGUGAAAGCCCAGGGCUCAACCUUGGAAUUGCCUUUGAUACUGGCUGUCUUGAGUACGGGAGAGGUGAGUGGAACUCCGAGUGUAGAGGUGAAAUUCGUAGAUAUUCGGAAGAACACCAGUGGCGAAGGCGACUCACUGGCCCGUUACUGACGCUGAGGCGCGAAAGCGUGGGGAGCAAACAGGAUUAGAUACCCGAGUAGUCC
Molecule: ribosomal RNA, 425 nt
Filed under: uncultured bacterium
Lineage: Bacteria
Description: partial 16S ribosomal RNA
Rfam family: Bacterial small subunit ribosomal RNA
Source: RNAcentral